Molecule: ribosomal RNA, 253 nt
Filed under: uncultured bacterium
Lineage: Bacteria
Description: partial 16S ribosomal RNA
Rfam family: Bacterial small subunit ribosomal RNA
Source: RNAcentral
UACGUAGGGUGCAAGCGUUGUCCGGAAUUAUUGGGCGUAAAGAGCUCGUAGGCGGUUCGUCACGUCGGCUGUGAAAACCUGAGGCUCAACCUCAGGCCUGCAGUCGAUACGGGCGGACUCGAGUUCGGCAGGGGAGACUGGAAUUCCUGGUGUAGCGGUGAAAUGCGCAGAUAUCAGGAGGAACACCGGUGGCGAAGGCGGGUCUCUGGGCCGAUACUGACGCUGAGGAGCGAAAGCGUGGGGAGCGAACAGG